This 492-nucleotide ribosomal RNA is filed under the name uncultured bacterium. Its description in RNAcentral is "partial 16S ribosomal RNA". It matches the Rfam family "Bacterial small subunit ribosomal RNA", at positions 29 to 507 of the family's 1533-position model. The record is from RNAcentral.
AGUGAACGCUGGCGGUAGGCCUAACACAUGCAAGUCGAACGGCAGCACAGUAAGAGCUUGCUCUUACGGGUGGCGAGUGGCGGACGGGUGAGGAAUACAUCGGAAUCUACUUUUUCGUGGGGGAUAACGUAGGGAAACUUACGCUAAUACCGCAUACGACCUACGGUUGAAAGCAGGGGAUCUUCGGACCUUGCGCGAUUGAAUGAGCCGAUGUCGGAUUAGCUAGUUGGCGGGGUAAAGGCCCACCAAGGCGACGAUCCGUAGCUGGUCUGAGAGGAUGAUUAGCCACACUGGAACUGAGACACGGUCCAGACUCCUACGGGAGGCAGCAGUGGGGAAUAUUGGACAAUGGGCGCAAGCCUGAUCCAGCCAUACCGAGUGGGUGAAGAAGGCCUUCGGGUUGUAAAGCCCUUUUGUUGGGAAAGAAAAGCAGCAGGUUAAUACCCCGCUGUUCUGACGGUACCAAAAGAAUAAGCACAGGCUAACUUCGUG